RNAcentral lists this microRNA precursor (75 nucleotides) under Tupaia belangeri (northern tree shrew). RNAcentral's name for it is "miRNA (ENSTBEG00000021012.1)". Lineage: Eukaryota; Metazoa; Chordata; Mammalia; Scandentia; Tupaiidae. The record is from RNAcentral.
GGCAACUAUUAAAUGCAGAUUCUGAUUCUGUAGGUCUGCGCUGAGACCUACAGUUUCUGCAUUUUUAACAAGUUC